This 838-nucleotide ribosomal RNA is filed under the name uncultured bacterium. RNAcentral's name for it is "SSU rRNA". It matches the Rfam family "Bacterial small subunit ribosomal RNA", at positions 54 to 894 of the family's 1533-position model. The record is from RNAcentral.
CAUGCAAGUCGAACGGGAUUAGGGAGCUUGCUCCCUAUGAGAGUGGCGCACGGGUGCGUAACACGUAUGCAACCUACCUUCAACCGGGGGAUAGCCUUCCGAAAGGAAGAUUAAUACCGCAUAACAUUAUGAGAUGGCAUCAUUUUAUAAUCAAAUCUACGGAAGUUGAAGAUGGGCAUGCGUCCGAUUAGCUAGUUGGAGAGGUAACGGCUCACCAAGGCUACGAUCGGUAGGGGAUCUGAGAGGAUGACCCCCCACACUGGUACUGAGACACGGACCAGACUCCUACGGGAGGCAGCAGUAAGGAAUAUUGGUCAAUGGACGCAAGUCUGAACCAGCCAUGCCGCGUGCAGGAAGACGGCCCUAUGGGUUGUAAACUGCUUUUGUCGGGGAAGAAACCCCUCUACGUGUAGAGGGCUGACGGUACUCGAAGAAUAAGGAUCGGCUAACUCCGUGCCAGCAGCCGCGGUAAUACGGAGGAUCCAAGCGUUAUCCGGAAUCAUUGGGUUUAAAGGGUCCGUAGGCGGCUUAAUAAGUCAGUGGUGAAAGCCCUACGCUUAACGUAGGAACGGCCAUUGAUACUGUUAGGCUUGAAUUAUUAGGAAGUAACUAGAAUAUGUAGUGUAGCGGUGAAAUGCUUAGAGAUUACAUGGAAUACCAAUUGCGAAGGCAGGUUACUACUAAUGGAUUGACGCUGAUGGACGAAAGCGUGGGUAGCGAACAGGAUUAGAUACCCUGGUAGUCCACGCCGUANACGAUGGAUACUAGCUGUUGGAAGCAAUUUCAGUGGCUAAGCGAAAGUGAUAAGUAUCCCACCUGGGGAGUACGUUCGCAAGAA